GAAGCUUGCUUCUCGCUGACGAGCGGCGGACGGGUGAGUAAUACUUAGGAAUCUACCUAGUAGUGGGGGAUAGCUCGGGGAAACUCGAAUUAAUACCGCAUACGACCUACGGGAGAAAGGGGGCAACUUGUUGCUCUCGCUAUUAGAUGAGCCUAAGUCGGAUUAGCUAGAUGGUGGGGUAAAGGCCUACCAUGGCGACGAUCUGUAGCUGGUCUGAGAGGAUGAUCAGCCACACCGGGACUGAGACACGGCCCGGACUCCUACGGGAGGCAGCAGUGGGGAAUAUUGGACAAUGGGGGCAACCCUGAUCCAGCCAUGCCGCGUGUGUGAAGAAGGCCUUUUGGUUGUAAAGCACUUUAAGCAGUGAAGAAGACUCCAUGGUUAAUACCCAUGGACGAUGACAUUAGCUGCAGAAUAAGCACCGGCUAACUCUGUGCCAGCAGCCGCGGUAAUACAGAGGGUGCAAGCGUUAAUCGGAAUUACUGGGCGUAAAGCGAGCGUAGGUGGCUUGAUAAGUCAGAUGUGAAAGCCCCGGGCUUAACCUGGGAACGGCAUCUGAUACUGUUAGGCUAGAGUAGGUGAGAGGAAGGUAGAAUUCCAGGUGUAGCGGUGAAAUGCGUAGAGAUCUGGAGGAAUACCGAUGGCGAAGGCAGCCUUCUGGCAUCAUACUGACACUGAGGUUCGAAAGCGUGGGUAGCAAACAGGAUUAGAUACCCUGGUAGUCCACGCCGUAAACGAUGUCUACUAGUCGUUGGGUCCCUUGAGGACUUAGUGACGCAGCUAACGCAAUAAGUAGACCGCCUGGGGAGUACGGCCGCAAGGUUAAAACUCAAAUGAAUUGACGGGGGCCCGCACAAGCGGUGGAGCAUGUGGUUUAAUUCGAUGCAACGCGAAGAACCUUACCUGGUCUUGACAUAUCU
RNAcentral lists this ribosomal RNA (920 nucleotides) under Psychrobacter sp. RNAcentral describes it as "bacterial SSU rRNA". It matches the Rfam family "Bacterial small subunit ribosomal RNA", at positions 75 to 991 of the family's 1533-position model. Lineage: Bacteria; Pseudomonadati; Pseudomonadota; Gammaproteobacteria; Moraxellales; Moraxellaceae. The record is from RNAcentral.